Chiloscyllium plagiosum (whitespotted bambooshark) is the source of this 742-nucleotide non-coding RNA. NCBI's taxonomy places the organism in Eukaryota, Metazoa, Chordata, Chondrichthyes, Orectolobiformes, Hemiscylliidae. The record is from RefSeq and is a predicted model, not a curated record.
CUACUGACUGGGUCUGAUUUCCAGCUCCCUUCCCAUUUAUCCAGCUCAUCUGCGGUAUUCUUCGUACUAAAGUUGAAAUCUGAUCACUGAUUUAUGCAGUAGUGAUGUUAUUACAAUCGCCACUAUUCAAACGUUUCCAAGUGUCUGGGUGGGAGGAGGCAAGACUCUGAAGAGUCUGUGCUACUCUUUGAUCUGAGAGAAAUUAUCUGAUCCCAAAACACAAGAGCCUGGAGCAGUCUUCAGUAUACCUUGAAAAUCAGAGCAAGAGACCAUCCAUUUGCUUCUGGUUUGUGAAGCUUUCCUCAACUCUGAGGUCAAAAGACAGGAAUUUGAAAAGCUGCUCAAACACUGGAAAAUCUCAGAAGUCUUUUCAAGUUCAAAGAAAUCAUAAGUGUCUGUGCUUCCUGUUUUCCUCAGAGAAAUAUCAAUCUGCGAAGAGUACGGUGAACACUAAAAUGGCCAGAAAAUUCUAGAACGAAAGUAUUUAUAAAUGAAAUUUAAGCCGUGAUGCAAGGAAAACAUUCAGGCAAAACAAGCAAAGGUCUGCUCAAAAUUCACAAGUAUUCCAUCAAGAACACACAGAACAGCUUCUAUACCAUUUAAUAUUUAUUGACUUUUUUUCUGAAGUUUGAAAGAGACUAAUGUGACAUGAGGUGCAUUUGAGAAUUUCAAGCUGGGAAUAUUGGCAUUACCAACACUGACAUAAUUUUUGACAGUAAAUUGCCGUAAAGGGUGCUCAAGC